Molecule: ribosomal RNA, 195 nt
Filed under: uncultured bacterium
Lineage: Bacteria
Description: partial 16S ribosomal RNA
Rfam family: Bacterial small subunit ribosomal RNA
Source: RNAcentral
GCAACUCGACUACAUGAAGCUGGAAUCGCUAGUAAUCGCAGAUCAGAAUGCUGCGGUGAAUACGUUCCCGGGUCUUGUACACACCGCCCGUCACACCAUGGGAGGUCGGAAAUGCCCGAAGCCGGUGACCCAACCAAAAGGAGGGAGCCGUCGAAGGCAGGUCUGAUAACUGGGGUGAAGUCGUAACAAGGUAAC